Molecule: non-coding RNA, 66 nt
Organism: Acyrthosiphon pisum (pea aphid)
Lineage: Eukaryota; Metazoa; Arthropoda; Insecta; Hemiptera; Aphididae
Source: Rfam
AAUGGCACUGAAAGAAUUCACGGGGUACAUAUUUACACAUCACCCGUAGUUCUUCUGUGCCGUAUU